GGGUUGUGAGGUUAAGCGACUAAGCGUACACGGUGGAUGCCCUGGCAGUCAGAGGCGAUGAAGGACGUGCUAAUCUGCGAUAAGCGUCGGUAAGGUGAUAUGAACCGUUAUAACCGGCGAUUUCCGAAUGGGGAAACCCAGUGUGAUUCGACACACUAUCAUUAACUGAAUCCAUAGGUUAAUGAGGCGAACCGGGGGAACUGAAACAUCUAAGUACCCCGAGGAAAAGAAAUCAACCGAGAUUCCCCCAGUAGCGGCGAGCGAACGGGGAGCAGCCCAGAGCCUGAAUCAGUAUGUGUGUUAGUGGAAGCGUCUGGAAAGGCGCGCGAUACAGGGUGACAGCCCCGUACACAAAAAUGCACAUGCUGUGAGCUCGAUGAGUAGGGCGGGACACGUGGUAUCCUGUCUGAAUAUGGGGGGACCAUCCUCCAAGGCUAAAUACUCCUGACUGACCGAUAGUGAACCAGUACCGUGAGGGAAAGGCGAAAAGAACCCCGGCGAGGGGAGUGAAAAAGAACCUGAAACCGUGUACGUACAAGCAGUGGGAGCACGCUUAGGCGUGUGACUGCGUACCUUUUGUAUAAUGGGUCAGCGACUUAUAUUCUGUAGCAAGGUUAACCGAAUAGGGGAGCCGAAGGGAAACCGAGUCUUAACUGGGCGUUAAGUUGCAGGGUAUAGACCCGAAACCCGGUGAUCUAGCCAUGGGCAGGUUGAAGGUUGGGUAACACUAACUGGAGGACCGAACCGACUAAUGUUGAAAAAUUAGCGGAUGACUUGUGGCUGGGGGUGAAAGGCCAAUCAAACCGGGAGAUAGCUGGUUCUCCCCGAAAGCUAUUUAGGUAGCGCCUCGUGAAUUCAUCUCCGGGGGUAGAGCACUGUUUCGGCAAGGGGGUCAUCCCGACUUACCAACCCGAUGCAAACUGCGAAUACCGGAGAAUGUUAUCACGGGAGACACACGGCGGGUGCUAACGUCCGUCGUGAAGAGGGAAACAACCCAGACCGCCAGCUAAGGUCCCAAAGUCAUGGUUAAGUGGGAAACGAUGUGGGAAGGCCCAGACAGCCAGGAUGUUGGCUUAGAAGCAGCCAUCAUUUAAAGAAAGCGUAAUAGCUCACUGGUCGAGUCGGCCUGCGCGGAAGAUGUAACGGGGCUAAACCAUGCACCGAAGCUGCGGCAGCGACGCUUAUGCGUUGUUGGGUAGGGGAGCGUUCUGUAAGCCUGCGAAGGUGUGCUGUGAGGCAUGCUGGAGGUAUCAGAAGUGCGAAUGCUGACAUAAGUAACGAUAAAGCGGGUGAAAAGCCCGCUCGCCGGAAGACCAAGGGUUCCUGUCCAACGUUAAUCGGGGCAGGGUGAGUCGACCCCUAAGGCGAGGCCGAAAGGCGUAGUCGAUGGGAAACAGGUUAAUAUUCCUGUACUUGGUGUUACUGCGAAGGGGGGACGGAGAAGGCUAUGUUGGCCGGGCGACGGUUGUCCCGGUUUAAGCGUGUAGGCUGGUUUUCCAGGCAAAUCCGGAAAAUCAAGGCUGAGGCGUGAUGACGAGGCACUACGGUGCUGAAGCAACAAAUGCCCUGCUUCCAGGAAAAGCCUCUAAGCAUCAGGUAACAUCAAAUCGUACCCCAAACCGACACAGGUGGUCAGGUAGAGAAUACCAAGGCGCUUGAGAGAACUCGGGUGAAGGAACUAGGCAAAAUGGUGCCGUAACUUCGGGAGAAGGCACGCUGAUAUGUAGGUGAAG
RNAcentral lists this ribosomal RNA (1733 nucleotides) under Escherichia coli. RNAcentral's name for it is "partial 23S ribosomal RNA". It matches the Rfam family "Bacterial large subunit ribosomal RNA", at positions 1 to 1767 of the family's 2925-position model. Lineage: Bacteria; Pseudomonadati; Pseudomonadota; Gammaproteobacteria; Enterobacterales; Enterobacteriaceae. The record is from RNAcentral.